GAUCAACGCUGGCGGCGUGCCUAAUGCAUGCAAGUCGAACGGGGUUCUCUUCGGAGGACUUACGUGGCGGACGGGUGCGGAACACGUGGGCAACCUGCCCUGAGGUGGGGGAUAGCCGUGGGAAACCGCGGGUAAUUCCGCAUAAGCUCGUCCCGUGGUAGGCGGGAUGAGGAAAGGGUCUUCGGACUCGCCUUAGGAGGGGGCUGCGGCCGAUUAGCUAGACGGUGGGGUAAUGGCUUACCGUGGCGAUGAUCGGUAGCUGGUCUGAGAGGACGGCCAGCCACACGGGGACUGAGAACGGCCCCGACUCCUACGGGAGGCAGCAGCAAGGAAUCUUCCGCAAUGGGCGAAAGCCUGACGGAGCAACGCCGCGUGGGGGAUGACGCCCUUCGGGGUGUAAACCUCUUUUCUUCGGGACGAAGAUCUGACGGUACCGGAGGAAGAAGGACCGGCUAACUACGUGCCAGCAGCCGCAGUAAUAC
This 482-nucleotide ribosomal RNA is filed under the name uncultured bacterium. RNAcentral's name for it is "bacterial SSU rRNA". It matches the Rfam family "Bacterial small subunit ribosomal RNA", at positions 28 to 526 of the family's 1533-position model. The record is from RNAcentral.